CCUACGGGAGGCUGCAGUGGGGAAUAUUGGGCAAUGGGCGCAAGCCUGACCCAGCAACGCCGCGUGAAGGAUGAAGGCUUUCGGGUUGUAAACUUCUUUUGUCAGGGAAGAGUAUAAGACGGUACCUGACGAAUAAGCCACGGCUAACUACGUGCCAGCAGCCGCGGUAAUACGGAGGUGGCAAGCGUUGUCCGGAUUUACGGGGUGUAAAGGGCGUGUAGCCGGGUUGACAAGUCAGAUGUGAAAUCCUGCGGCUUAACCGCAGAACUGCAUUUGAAACUGUUGAUCUUGAGUAUUGGAGAGGCAGGCGGAAUUCCUAGUGUAGGGGUGAAAUGCGGAGAUAUUAGGAGGAACACCAGUGGCGAAGGCGGUCUGCUGGACAGCAACUGACGGUGAGGCGCGAAAGCGUGGGGAGCAAACAGGAUUAGAUACCCCUGUAGUC
RNAcentral lists this ribosomal RNA (442 nucleotides) under uncultured bacterium. RNAcentral describes it as "partial 16S ribosomal RNA". It matches the Rfam family "Bacterial small subunit ribosomal RNA", at positions 338 to 795 of the family's 1533-position model. The record is from RNAcentral.